GUAGGGAAUAUUGCGCAAUGGACGAAAGUCUGACGCAGCGACGCCGCGUGAGUGAUGAAGGCCUUAGGGUCGUAAAGCUCUGUUGAAUGGGAAGAAAAAAAUGACGGUACCAUUCGAGGAAGGACCGGCUAACUUCGUGCCAGCAGCCGCGGUAAUACGUGGGGUCCUAGCGUUGUUCGGAAUCAUUGGGCGUAAAGGGUGUGUAGGUGGCCAUGUAAGUCAGGUGUGAAAGCCCCGGGCUCAACCCGGGAAGUGCACUUGAUACUGCGUGGCUUGAGUACCGAAGAGGGUAGUGGAAUUCCAGGUGUGGUGGUGAAAUACGUAGAUAUCUGGAGGAACACCGGUGGCGAAGGCGGCUACCUGGUCGAGUACUGACACUGAGACACGAAAGCAUGGGGAUCAAACAGGAUUAGAUACCCUGGUAGUCC
This 428-nucleotide ribosomal RNA is filed under the name uncultured bacterium. RNAcentral's name for it is "partial 16S ribosomal RNA". It matches the Rfam family "Bacterial small subunit ribosomal RNA", at positions 354 to 796 of the family's 1533-position model. The record is from RNAcentral.